Anser brachyrhynchus (Pink-footed goose) is the source of this 792-nucleotide long non-coding RNA. The record is from Ensembl. Lineage: Eukaryota; Metazoa; Chordata; Aves; Anseriformes; Anatidae.
GUUGACUGCAAGUCUCUUUUGAUCCUGAAACUCCCACUGACUGAUUGAUAAAUAGGAGGCAGUCACCUCAAUAUCUCUGUGGAUGUGACACUUGAUUCUCAGAAAUUACCAUGUACUAGAAUUUCAGACGGGCUACUUGCACAGCGUGUCUCAGCCUUCACCUUCUAAGUAACCAGCUUAAGAAACCCCUAAUGACCUGCGUGAUUAUUAUAGCAUAUAAUGUGUACUUGGUUGUUUUUCAGUGUUUCUCACCAAUAAUUAGAUGCCAAAUUUACCUGAAUCAGUGGAAGGACUCCAUCUAGCAGCAUGUACCCUGCGUCAGCGGUGAAGCCCGUAAGUGACUCCAGGCAACUUGAAGGCCAGAUCAAUUCUGCAGCAGCUAACGCAGCCCUGUGUGUGUGUGUGCUGACAGACCACGAUACUGUUCAGAGGAAUAAAGAAGUUACAGCCAGAAGUGCUUUGCUGUGGGCAGCAUAAGAUGCAUUUACCCACAAUAAUAGGGACUCUGAGAAGUGAGGAUGACUUUUCCAGCCCUAUGUUCCAAAGGCACCGCCGUGUGGAUGCCACGAGUUCAAAAGUGGGUGCUGGCUGUACUUGGCUACACGUUUUCACCAGAAAUCUCGGAGGAUGCAGAAGAUGGGGUGCGGAACUGGAGCAUCUUGCCCGUGCUCCUGCCAUCCCCAGGUAACCAGCUGGAAGUGAGCAGCAAGGGAACCCAUCUGUUCUGCCGUGCCUGGAGGGGAGUCAGGUACAGGUGGGCUAUCAGCGCCUUCGGUGCAGGUGGCAACGUGA